ACGCGUGAGAAUCUGCCUAGAGGUUGGGGACAACCACUGGAAACGGUGGCUAAGACCCAAUGUGCAAGUUCUGUGAAAGAUUUAUCGCCUCUAGAUGAGCUCGCGUCUGAUUAGCUAGUUGGUGAGGUAAAGGCUCACCAAGGCUCCGAUCAGUAGCUGGUCUGAGAGGAUGACCAGCCACACUGGGACUGAGACACGGCCCAGACUCCUACGGGAGGCAGCAGUGGGGAAUUUUCCGCAAUGGGCGAAAGCCUGACGGAGCAAGACCGCGUGAGGGAGGAAGGCUCUUGGGUUGUAAACCUCUUUUCUCAGGGAAGAACUCCAUGACGGUACCUGAGGAAUCAGCCUCGGCUAACUCCGUGCCAGCAGCCGCGGUAAUACGGAGGAGGCAAGCGUUAUCCGGAAUUAUUGGGCGUAAAGCGUCCGUAGGUGGUCAUGUAAGUCGGUCGUCAAAGCCAGAGGCUCAACCUCUGUCCGGCGGUGGAAACUGCAAGACUAGAGAGAGGUAGGGGUAGAGGGAAUUCCCAGUGUAGCGGUGAAAUGCGUAGAGAUUGGGAAGAACAUCGGUGGCGAAAGCGCUCUACUGGACCUUUUCUGACACUGAUGGACGAAAGCUAGGGGAGCGAAUGGGAUUAAU
This 637-nucleotide ribosomal RNA is filed under the name Microcoleus sp. PCC 8701. RNAcentral describes it as "bacterial SSU rRNA". It matches the Rfam family "Bacterial small subunit ribosomal RNA", at positions 113 to 782 of the family's 1533-position model. The record is from RNAcentral. Lineage: Bacteria; Bacillati; Cyanobacteriota; Cyanophyceae; Oscillatoriales; Microcoleaceae.